Phyllostomus discolor (pale spear-nosed bat) is the source of this 1008-nucleotide long non-coding RNA. RefSeq lists it as uncharacterized. The transcript is spliced from 2 exons. The record is from RefSeq and is a predicted model, not a curated record. NCBI's taxonomy places the organism in Eukaryota, Metazoa, Chordata, Mammalia, Chiroptera, Phyllostomidae.
CGCCGAGGUGACCGGCCGGCGCGAAGCCCUCCUCCUGCAGCCUUCUCAGCGCAGGCAGAGAAAGCGCACAAUAGCUCUUGACACGCAAAUGGGUUAACACAAUAAAGGAGGCUCCGGCCGCUGCCGGGGGAGAGCCGCAAUUCCCGGCCCGCGGGAGGUAAUAAAGCGGCCCUUUUGUGCGCGCCCCUUCGUUCUCACCCCCGCCCCACGCCCAGAGGAAUCGCCGCCUGAUUGAAUUACGGUUCAUGAAUAUGAGCUGCUCCGCUUGCUUCCUCCGGUAAUGGGAAGCAGGAUCCCAACCUGGGUUGCAGUGUGGCAAGACAUCCUGGUGAUGCCGGAUGUCCCCUAUAGCCAAUGACCCCUGACUCUUGCAGGGACUGUGUCCAAUGAGGGGUGGUGGCAGUGCCUCCCCUGCACAGAUGAGGGUGGGAAGACCUGGGAACUCUGAAGCCAGCACAAUUGAGAGCCUAACCUCCGCAGUUUCCUGGCUGGGCACCCGCAUCUCAUCACUUCCUCGGUUUUACCCUCGGUUUCCUCAUCUGUAUAAUGGGCUGCAGCACGUGAGUCAUGGCAAAGAGUAACUGCGAUCCCAUAAAAUGCUGGCACGCUGGGUAAGCUGGCACUCCCUCCUAUGCGUCACCUGGUGCUGUUGCCAAGCCCAGGGAAGGGAACAGAAGGAAUCGCCCAGUUCUGACAGCCUUUCCCUCCGCCUUGGCUUUGGAAGUGUAAAUACUCCGUGGAGGACCUCCAACUGCCUGUGUUUGUGGAUCUCCGGCGCACUCGGAGUUUGUUUCUAAACUGGGAAGCUUCGAGAGGCAGCGCAAACAGCCUUUCUGCCCAUCUCUCCCACUUCUCCACCCAUCUGCUAUUGCUCCUCCGUCCUUGGAAGCCUGUGUGUUUAACGACACCAUUUCAGCUAGAAAUAUCAUCUCCCCGCAAAGCCCCCAAAAGCAGCUCCACUGAUAUUUAUUGACCUGCUCAUCUAGCUAGAAAGCCUAGUAGAACAGG